This 29-nucleotide non-coding RNA is filed under the name Bombyx mori (domestic silkworm). Lineage: Eukaryota; Metazoa; Arthropoda; Insecta; Lepidoptera; Bombycidae. The record is from RNAcentral.
UAGAUAAUGAGAUCACUAGAAAACGUCGC